RNAcentral lists this long non-coding RNA (302 nucleotides) under Theropithecus gelada (gelada). Its description in RNAcentral is "lncRNA (ENSTGEG00000023478.1)". The record is from RNAcentral. Lineage: Eukaryota; Metazoa; Chordata; Mammalia; Primates; Cercopithecidae.
CUGGCUCCGCAUGGUCAGUGCCAUUUCGCCUUUAUCGUGGUGGAGUCCACCGUGGCUGUGUAAAAGGAUUUCUGCGUUCCAGUCAGGUUGGCUGCGGCCCCGCAUCCCCCCGCCUCAGAAACCUGGCGAUUCCGGCGUGUUUCUGGACCUGUUCAAACUCUGUCUCUUGACUGGAGGAGGAGGAGGAAAAGCUGAGCACAUUGCCAACUGGAGUUCUCCAAGAAUGGCAAGUUAAAACCAAAGUGUCAGCACUUCAACAACAUUUUUUUUUGGCUUAAAACAUCAAACGGCAUACAAAUGGU